RNAcentral lists this ribosomal RNA (460 nucleotides) under uncultured bacterium. RNAcentral describes it as "partial 16S ribosomal RNA". It matches the Rfam family "Bacterial small subunit ribosomal RNA", at positions 338 to 795 of the family's 1533-position model. The record is from RNAcentral.
CCUACGGGAGGCAGCAGUGAGGAAUAUUGGUCAAUGGGCGCUAGUCUGAACCAGCCAAGUAGCGUGAAGGAUGACUGCCCUAUGGGUUGUAAACUUCUUUUAUAUGGGAAUAAAGUGCAGUACGUAUACUGUUUUGCAUGUACCUUAUGAAUAAGGAUCGGCUAACUCCGUGCCAGCAGCCGCGGUAAUACGGAGGAUCCGAGCGUUAUCCGGAUUUAUUGGGUUUAAAGGGAGCGUAGGCGGGUUGUUAAGUCAGUUGUGAAAGUUUGCGGCUCAACCGUAAAAUUGCAGUUGAUACUGGCAUCCUUGAGUACAGUAGAGGUAGGCGGAAUUCGUGGUGUAGCGGUGAAAUGCUUAGAUAUCACGAAGAACUCCGAUUGCGAAGGCAGCCUGCUGGACUGUAACUGACGCUGAUGCUCGAAAGUGUGGGUAUCAAACAGGAUUAGAUACCCCUGUAGUC